This 150-nucleotide small RNA is filed under the name Myxococcales bacterium. RNAcentral's name for it is "6S RNA". It matches the Rfam family "6S / SsrS RNA", at positions 12 to 175 of the family's 187-position model. Rfam says of the family: E. coli 6S RNA was the first non coding RNA to be sequenced, but its function was unknown until recently. It consists of 184 nucleotides that fold into an extended hairpin structure with a large single-stranded internal bulge. The 6S RNA specifically associates with RNA polymerase holoenzyme containing the sigma70 specificity factor. The record is from RNAcentral. Lineage: Bacteria; Pseudomonadati; Myxococcota; Myxococcia; Myxococcales.
UUGGAGGCCAGGUGAAGAAUCCCUAGUUUUAUGAGACGGGAUCUGUCUCUUGCCGUUGUGUGCAAGCCUGCCUGGUAGCAGGAAGCCUAAUGCGGUUAUCACUGAGCCCACCUGGAGUUGCCAGGGAUUACACACGGCGUCCAACGUCAA